RNAcentral lists this ribosomal RNA (1372 nucleotides) under uncultured bacterium. RNAcentral's name for it is "bacterial SSU rRNA". It matches the Rfam family "Bacterial small subunit ribosomal RNA", at positions 28 to 1381 of the family's 1533-position model. The record is from RNAcentral.
GAUGAACGCUGGCGGCGUGCCUAAUACAUGCAAGUCGAGCGAACGGACGAGAAGCUUGCUUCUCUGAUGUUAGCGGCGGACGGGUGAGUAACACGUGGAUAACCUACCUAUAAGACUGGGAUAACUUCGGGAAACCGGAGCUAAUACCGGAUAAUAUUUUGAACCGCAUGGUUCAAAAGUGAAAGACGGUCUUGCUGUCACUUAUAGAUGGAUCCGCGCUGCAUUAGCUAGUUGGUAAGGUAACGGCUUACCAAGGCAACGAUGCAUAGCCGACCUGAGAGGGUGAUCGGCCACACUGGAACUGAGACACGGUCCAGACUCCUACGGGAGGCAGCAGUAGGGAAUCUUCCGCAAUGGGCGAAAGCCUGGCGGAGCAACGCCGCGUGAGUGAUGAAGGUCUUCGGAUCGUAAAACUCUGUUAUUAGGGAAGAACAUAUGUGUAAGUAACUGUGCACAUCUUGACGGUACCUAAUCAGAAAGCCACGGCUAACUACGUGCCAGCAGCCGCGGUAAUACGUAGGUGGCAAGCGUUAUCCGGAAUUAUUGGGCGUAAAGCGCGCGUAGGCGGUUUUUUAAGUCUGAUGUGAAAGCCCACGGCUCAACCGUGGAGGGUCAUUGGAAACUGGAAAACUUGAGUGCAGAAGAGGAAAGUGGAAUUCCAUGUGUAGCGGUGAAAUGCGCAGAGAUAUGGAGGAACACCAGUGGCGAAGGCGACUUUCUGGUCUGUAACUGACGCUGAUGUGCGAAAGCGUGGGGAUCAAACAGGAUUAGAUACCCUGGUAGUCCACGCCGUAAACGAUGAGUGCUAAGUGUUAGGGGGUUUCCGCCCCUUAGUGCUGCAGCUAACGCAUUAAGCACUCCGCCUGGGGAGUACGACCGCAAGGUUGAAACUCAAAGGAAUUGACGGGGACCCGCACAAGCGGUGGAGCAUGUGGUUUAAUUCGAAGCAACGCGAAGAACCUUACCAAAUCUUGACAUCCUUUGACAACUCUAGAGAUAGAGCUUUCCCCUUCGGGGGACAAAGUGACAGGUGGUGCAUGGUUGUCGUCAGCUCGUGUCGUGAGAUGUUGGGUUAAGUCCCGCAACGAGCGCAACCCUUAAGCUUAGUUGCCAUCAUUAAGUUGGGCACUCUAAGUUGACUGCCGGUGACAAACCGGAGGAAGGUGGGGAUGACGUCAAAUCAUCAUGCCCCUUAUGAUUUGAGCUACACACGUGCUACAAUGGACAAUACAAAGGGCAGCGAAACCGUGAGGUCAAGCAAAUCCCAUAAAGUUGUUCUCAGUUCGGAUUGUAGUCUGCAACUCGACUACAUGAAGCUGGAAUCGCUAGUAAUCGUAGAUCAGCAUGCUACGGUGAAUACGUUCCCGGGUCU